GAUGAAGAACGUAGCGAAAUGCGAUAAGUAAUGUGAAUUGCAGAAUUCAGUGAAUCAUCGAAUCUUUGAACGCCCAUUGCGGCCGCCAGUAUUCUGGCGGGCAUGCCUGUUCGAGCGUCAUUUCAACCAUCAAGCCCCAGGCUUGUGUUGGGGACCUGCGGCUGCCGCAGGCCCUGAAAACCAGUGGCGGGCUCGCUGUCACACCGGGCGUAGUAGAUUUUAUCUCGCUCAGGGCGUGCUGCGGGUUCCGGCCGUUAAAAAGCCUUUUUUACCCAAGGUUGACCUCGGAUCAGGUAGGAAUACCCGCUGAACUUAAGCAUAUCAAUAAGCGGAGGA
Molecule: unclassified non-coding RNA, 336 nt
Filed under: soil metagenome
Description: partial contains 5.8S ribosomal RNA, internal transcribed spacer 2, and large subunit ribosomal RNA
Rfam family: 5.8S ribosomal RNA (bases 1-120)
Source: RNAcentral